RNAcentral lists this ribosomal RNA (492 nucleotides) under uncultured bacterium. RNAcentral's name for it is "partial 16S ribosomal RNA". It matches the Rfam family "Bacterial small subunit ribosomal RNA", at positions 29 to 507 of the family's 1533-position model. The record is from RNAcentral.
AGUGAACGCUGGCGGUAGGCCUAACACAUGCAAGUCGAACGGCAGCACAGUAAGAGCUUGCUCUUACGGGUGGCGAGUGGCGGACGGGUGAGGAAUACAUCGGAAUCUACUUUUUCGUGGGGGAUAACGUAGGGAAACUUACGCUAAUACCGCAUACGACCUACGGGUGAAAGCAGGGGAUCUUCGGACCUUGCGCGAUUGAAUGAGCCGAUGUCGGAUUAGCUAGUUGGCGGGGUAAAGGCCCACCAAGGCGACGAUCCGUAGCUGGUCUGAGAGGAUGAUCAGCCACACUGGAACUGAAACACGGUCCAGACUCCUGCGGGAGGCAGCAGUGGGGAAUAUUGGACAAUGGGCGCAAGCCUGAUCCAGCCAUACCGCGUGGGUGAAGAAGGCCUUCGGGUUGUAAAGCCCUUUUGUUGGGAAAGAAAAGCAGCAGGUUAAUACCCCGCUGUUCUGACGGUACCCAAAGAAUAAGCACCGGCUAACUUCGCG